ACGCUGGCGGCAGGCUUACACAUGCAAGUCGAGCGCCCCGCAAGGGGAGCGGCAGACGGGUGAGUAACGCGUGGGAAUCUACCUUUUGCUACGGAAUAACUCAGGGAAACUUGUGCUAAUACCGUAUGUGCCCUUCGGGGGAAAGAUUUAUCGGCAAAGGAUGAGCCCGCGUUGGAUUAGCUAGUUGGUGAGGUAAAGGCUCACCAAGGCGACGAUCCAUAGCUGGUCUGAGAGGAUGAUCAGCCACACUGGGACUGAGACACGGCCCAGACUCCUACGGGAGGCAGCAGUGGGGAAUAUUGGACAAUGGGCGCAAGCCUGAUCCAGCCAUGCCGCGUGAGUGAUGAAGGCCCUAGGGUUGUAAAGCUCUUUCAACGGUGAAGAUAAUGACGGUAACCGUAGAAGAAGCCCCGGCUAACUUCGUGCCAGCAGCCGCGGUAAUACGAAGGGGGCUAGCGUUGUUCGGAAUUACUGGGCGUAAAGCGCACGUAGGCGGAUCGAUCAGUUAGGGGUGAAAUCCCAGGGCUCAACCCUGGAACUGCCUCUAAUACUGUCGAUCUCGAGUUCGAGAGAGGUGAGUGGAAUUCCGAGUGUAGAGGUGAAAUUCGUAGAUAUUCGGAGGAACACCAGUGGCGAAGGCGGCUCACUGGCUCGAUACUGACGCUGAGGUGCGAAAGCGUGGGGAGCAAACAGGGAUUAGAUACCCUGGUAGUCCACCCCGUAAACGAUGGAAGCUAGCCGUCGGGCAGUUUACUGUUCGGUGGCGCAGUUAACCCAUUAAC
This 782-nucleotide ribosomal RNA is filed under the name Aquamicrobium sp. RH.Sph.068. RNAcentral describes it as "bacterial SSU rRNA". It matches the Rfam family "Bacterial small subunit ribosomal RNA", at positions 33 to 864 of the family's 1533-position model. The record is from RNAcentral. Lineage: Bacteria; Pseudomonadati; Pseudomonadota; Alphaproteobacteria; Hyphomicrobiales; Phyllobacteriaceae.